AUGGCCCCAUCCCCAUCUCCCCUGUGUCCCGCGGGUCUCCGGGCGGCCGUGACCCUGCUGGAGUGCGGGGGGGACCUCCAGCCCCCCGGGGGGUCCCUGCGCCUCCUCUGCCGAGGGGCCGGGUUCAGUUUCAGGACUGUUGCAAUGGGCUGGUAUCGACAGAGACCCGGGCAGGGGCUGGAAUACAUUGCAGAUAUCAGCUACAGUGGUGGCAGCACCUGGUACGCGCCGUCGGUCAAGGGCCGGUUCACGAUCUCCAGGGACAACGGGCAGAGCUCGGUGACGCUGAUCAUGAACAGCCUCAAGGACGAGGAUUCCGGAUCCUAUUUCUGUGCCACCUUCACCCUUGGUGCCAAUUUUGGCGCCAAACCCUCAGGAUUCGGUGCCCCAGCGCGGAUCGUGACCCGGCCCUUGACCGACUGCGAGUAG
Melospiza melodia melodia is the source of this 429-nucleotide non-coding RNA. The record is from the annotation of a RefSeq genome assembly. Lineage: Eukaryota; Metazoa; Chordata; Aves; Passeriformes; Passerellidae.